This 71-nucleotide transfer RNA is filed under the name Sphingomonas sp. LH128. RNAcentral's name for it is "tRNA-OTHER". Lineage: Bacteria; Pseudomonadati; Pseudomonadota; Alphaproteobacteria; Sphingomonadales; Sphingomonadaceae. The record is from RNAcentral.
GUGCCUGCAAAAGGCUGUAAACCGGGCUUUUAAUCAGCGGGUCACAGGUUCGAAUCCUGUCGGGCUCACCA